This 84-nucleotide transfer RNA is filed under the name Deltaproteobacteria bacterium. Its description in RNAcentral is "tRNA-Leu". It matches the Rfam family "tRNA". Rfam says of the family: Transfer RNA (tRNA) molecules are approximately 80 nucleotides in length. The record is from RNAcentral. Lineage: Bacteria; Pseudomonadati; Myxococcota; Myxococcia.
GCCCGGGUGGCGGAAUUGGUAGACGCACCAGCUUGAGGGGCUGGCGGUCGCAAGACCAUGCAGGUUCGAGUCCUGUCCCGGGCA